RNAcentral lists this ribosomal RNA (490 nucleotides) under uncultured bacterium. RNAcentral's name for it is "partial 16S ribosomal RNA". It matches the Rfam family "Bacterial small subunit ribosomal RNA", at positions 30 to 507 of the family's 1533-position model. The record is from RNAcentral.
AUUGAACGCUGGCGGCAUGCCUUACACAUGCAAGUCGAACGGCAGCAUGAUCUAGCUUGCUAGAUUGAUGGCGAGUGGCGAACGGGUGAGUAAUACAUCGGAACGUGCCCUGUAGUGGGGGAUAACUAGUCGAAAGAUUAGCUAAUACCGCAUACGACCUGAGGGUGAAAGUGGGGGACCGCAAGGCCUCAUGCUAUAGGAGCGGCCGAUGUCUGAUUAGCUAGUUGGUGAGGUAAAGGCUCACCAAGGCGACGAUCAGUAGCUGGUCUGAGAGGACGAUCAGCCACACUGGGACUGAGACACGGCCCAGACUCCUACGGGAGGCAGCAGUGGGGAAUGUUGGACAAUGGGCGAAAGCCUGAUCCAGCAAUGCCGCGUGUGUGAAGAAGGCCUUCGGGUUGUAAAGCACUUUUGUCCGGAAAGAAAUGGCUCUGGUUAAUACCUGGGGUAGAUGACGGUACCGGAAGAAUAAGGACCGGCUAACUACGUG